RNAcentral lists this long non-coding RNA (560 nucleotides) under Mytilus galloprovincialis (Mediterranean mussel). The record is from RNAcentral. Lineage: Eukaryota; Metazoa; Mollusca; Bivalvia; Mytilida; Mytilidae.
CCUAAUUCCUAAACUGUUGGGACCUAAACUCCCAAAAUCAAUACCAACCUUCCUUUUGUAGUCAUUAACAUUGUGUUUAAAUUUCAUUGAUUUCUAUUUACUUAAACUAAAGUUAUUGUGCGAAAACCAAGAAUAAUGCUUAUUUGGGCCCUUUUUUGGCCCUUAAUUCCUAAACUGUUGAAACCAAAACUCCCAAAAUCAAUCCCAACCGUUCUUUUGUGGUCAUAAACCUUGUGUCAAAAUUUCAUAGAUUUCUAUUAACUUAAACUAAAGUUAUAGUGCGAAAACCAAGAAAAUGCUUAUUUGGGCCCUUUUUGGCCCCUAAUUCCUAAAAUGUUGGGACCAAAACUCCCAAAAUCAAUACCAACCUUCCUUUUGUGGUCAUAAACCUUGUGUUAAAAUUUCAUAGAUUUCCAUUCACUUUUACUAAAGUUAGAGUGCGAAAACUAAAAGUAUUCGGACGACGACGACGAAAACGACGACGACGCAGACGACGACGCCAACGUGAUAGCAAUAUACGACGAAAAAUUUUUCAAAUUUUGCGGUCGUAUAAAAAGAUA